RNAcentral lists this ribosomal RNA (287 nucleotides) under uncultured bacterium. Its description in RNAcentral is "partial 16S ribosomal RNA". It matches the Rfam family "Bacterial small subunit ribosomal RNA", at positions 524 to 809 of the family's 1533-position model. The record is from RNAcentral.
UACAGAGGUGGCAAGCGUUGUUCGGAAUUACUGGGCGUAAAGGGCGCGUAGGCGGUUCGUUAAGUCCUGUGUGAAAUCCCCCCGGCUCAACUGGGGAACUGCGCAGGAAACUAGCGGGCUUGAGUUCGGGAGAGGGAAGCGGAAUUCCGGGUGUAGCGGUGGAAAUGCGUAGAUAUCCGGAGGAACACCGGUGGCGAAGGCGGCUUCCUGGACCGACACUGACGCUGAGGCGCGAAAGCUAGGGGAGCAAACGGGAUUAGAUACCGACGAGUCGAGACCAGUACCCA